This 214-nucleotide ribosomal RNA is filed under the name uncultured bacterium. RNAcentral describes it as "partial 16S ribosomal RNA". It matches the Rfam family "Bacterial small subunit ribosomal RNA", at positions 122 to 334 of the family's 1533-position model. The record is from RNAcentral.
CAACCUGCCCUUCAGAGGGGGACAACAGUUGGAAACGACUGCUAAUACCGCAUAAUGUAUCCGGGAGGCAUCUCCUGGAUACCAAAGGAGAAAUCCGCUGAUGGAUGGGCUCACGUCUGAUUAGCUAGUUGGUGAGGUAACGGCUCACCAAGGCUGCGAUCAGUAGCCGGACUGAGAGGUUGAACGGCCACACUGGGACUGAGAUACGGCCCAG